Molecule: ribosomal RNA, 1067 nt
Filed under: uncultured Tulasnellaceae
Lineage: Eukaryota; Fungi; Basidiomycota; Agaricomycetes; Cantharellales; Tulasnellaceae
Description: eukaryotic LSU rRNA
Rfam family: Eukaryotic large subunit ribosomal RNA (bases 483-1067)
Source: RNAcentral
ACCCAUUUUCUAUUGGACCGGUGGUGUUCACUUUACAGUGACCCAUCCGAUCAGCCAUGCGUUUCUUGGACAUGACUCUUGAAUAAAACAGUUUACACAACUGGUAGCAUUGGAUCCCUUGGCACGCCAUUCGAUGAAGAACGUUGCAAACUGCGAUAAGUGAUGUGAAAUGCGAGUCCAAAACUUAUACGUGAAUCAUCGAAUCUUUGAACGCAUUGCAUCGAGCUUUGCCCAAGCACGAUAUGCCCCAUUGAGCGUCCUUAAGUCUUUGGAAGUCUGUAUUUAUUUACAUUCAUUCCAAGUCCGGGCUUCAUGGCUUCACCGUCACGCUGCCUUAGAUGUAUUAUGCGUCGCACUCCGGUUGCGCUCCUUGUUGUACACUUCAAGGUGCAUCCCAAUGCGUUACUGCACUUACGCUAAUCACCCUUGGUGAAAAGCAACACCGUGUUCUGUCCUCCUCGGACAGUUCACCCCUUCUUGACUUAACCUCACGGGGGCAAGACGACCCGCUAGACUUAAGCAUAUUAAUCAGCGGAGGAAAAGAAACUAACAAGGAUUCCCCUAGUAACUGCGAGUGAAGAGGGAAGAGCUCAAUGUGUGAAUCUGAUCGGGUGUAACGCCUGGUUCGAAUUGUGCACUAUUGACGCUGGAUCAGCGUUCGGAAACGACCGUCGGAUGUCCGGUGUAAUCCGGUGCCAUAGCGGGUAACAGCCCUGUACACGACACUCCGUAUCCACGCAUAUGACCAGUGUUCAUCGAGUCGCGUAGUUUUGUAUUGCUGCGCUAAUUGGGAGGUAGAGCCCUUCUAAAGCUAAAUAUUAUGGCGUGACCGAUAGCAAACAAGUACCGUGAGGGAAAGGUGAAAAGCAACCAUGCAGAAUGGGUUGAAACAGAAGUGAAAGUGCUACCGGGAUAAGGACUAUUGAUUACAAGUGUGGAUAGCGUGUGCUUCAGUGCUACGUUGACCGCCGUCGUGCAUCGAUUGGGGACUGGGGAGAACAGGGCAGUUGGGAAUUCGGCUCGGUCUCGAGUGUUGUAGCCCAGCGGCCAGUGGAACCCCCCUCGAU